AACGCGAAGAACCUUACCUGGGCUCGAACGGCUUCGGACAAUCCUUGGAAACAGGGACUUCCCGCAAGGGACUGGAGUCGAGGUGCUGCAUGGCUGUCGUCAGCUCGUGUCGUGAGAUGUUGGGUUAAGUCCCGCAACGAGCGCAACCCUUGUCCUGUGUUGGCAUGCCGCAAGGCGCAACUCUCAGGAGACCGCCAGCGAUAAGUUGGAGGAAGGUGGGGAUGACGUCAAGUCAUCAUGGCCUUUAUGUCCAGGGCCACACACGUGCUACAAUGGGCGGUACAAAGCGCUGCCAACCCGCGAGGGGGAGCUAAUCGCCAAAAAACCGUCCUCAGUUCGGAUUGCAGGCUGCAACUCGCCUGCAUGAAGCUGGAAUCGCUAGUAAUGCUAUAUCAGAACGAUAGCGUGAAUACGUUCCCGGGCCUUGUA
This 429-nucleotide ribosomal RNA is filed under the name uncultured Acidobacterium sp. RNAcentral describes it as "bacterial SSU rRNA". It matches the Rfam family "Bacterial small subunit ribosomal RNA", at positions 958 to 1385 of the family's 1533-position model. Lineage: Bacteria; Pseudomonadati; Acidobacteriota; Terriglobia; Terriglobales; Acidobacteriaceae. The record is from RNAcentral.